AUGUUUCCACUAGUGACGGCCGGGUCGCCCAAAUGUGUUGCGCUCCGAUCAAACCAUGACAACACCUACCUGUGCUCCGUCCACGACGAGAGCCAGGGCGGCAGUAUCGUCGAGCUAAGCAGCGGUGGCGACGGCGGCGUCAAUAACCCGCGCUGCCGGUUUUAUCUGGAGGCGUCCGAGGAGCACGACGGGCACCUGCACGUCAGGUGCUGCCACAACAACAAGUACUGGGUGUCCCAGCAGCGCGUGCAUGGCGACGGCGACGGCGACGGCGACGCACGCUGGGUCAUCGGCACCGCCAAUGAACCGGAGGCGGACCUGUCCAAGCCGUCAUGCACCCUGUUUAAGCCCACCCCGGCCUCGGAGGAGGACGGCUCCGUCAGGUUCCUCCACUCCCAGAUGGGCAAAUAUGUUGGCGUGUUAUCCAGUGGUGAUGUCGCCCAUUUGCAUAUACUAGCAUCUGACCAAGAAGAUGACAAGUCUCUGCUGGUUGGUAGUGGCUUCACUGUUGUGGAUUUGUCGCAGCAUAAGCAAUUGCCUGCACAUGUAUCUUUCAAAGGUGACAACGGCAAGUACCUGGGUGUAUGGAGCAACGGCUAUCAUAAUUAUGUAUGCGUUUCGAAAGAUGACAUCACAGAUCCAAGGGCGUCGCACACACUCACCAACAAUGAUGAUGGAUCCAUCCGUUUACAAUCUGAUUUCCAGAGCAAGUUUUGGAGGCGCAGCCCGGACUGGAUUUGGGCCGACUCACACGACACCACCAACAACAACCGUGACACCUUGUUCGAGGCGGUGAUCAUCGGGGAUGACUUCGUAGCGCUUCGAAACCUUGGCAAUGGCAGCUUCUGUCAGAGGCUAACCGCAGACGGCAAGAUUGACUGCCUCAAUGCUAGUGCUGAUAGCAUGGUAGGACGAGCAAGAUUCCAUCUGGAAGAGCCGGUUAUUUCUCGAGAGAUCUAUGACAUUGAGUUCCACCUGGAUGAGGCUAAGGUUCAGCUCAAGAAACUCGAGGAUGUAAAAACUGCUCAUCUUAUCAAUGACAUCCCUACACCCGGCACACAAGACGUAGAAUUCAAACUCCAAGAGACCAGGGAGAGUACCUGGAGUUCUAGUGUUUCAUUGAAAGUGGCUAUCAAGUCAACCAUUGACUCUGGGAUUCCACUCAUAGUGAAAGGGGAAAUACAAAUUAGUGCUGAAUUUCAAGGAGGAUAUAGCUGGGGAGAAACUAUAACGAAAACACGAGAGACCACCAUGAAAUAUCAAGUCAUUGUGCCUCCAAUGUCCAAGGUCUUGGUGACAGCGAUUCAGUCACAAGGUAUAUGUGAUGUCCCAUACUCAUACAAGCAGAAGGAUGUUCUGUUGAAUGGACAGGAAAUUACUCACCACUUCACAGAUGGCAUUUAUAGGGGUGUUAGUGUGUCUGAUACUACAAUCACUGUCGAACCCAUGCCGUGA
This 1455-nucleotide ribosomal RNA is filed under the name Triticum aestivum (bread wheat). Its description in RNAcentral is "partial small subunit ribosomal RNA". Lineage: Eukaryota; Viridiplantae; Streptophyta; Magnoliopsida; Poales; Poaceae. The record is from RNAcentral.